CCUACGGGAGGCAGCAGUGGGGAAUAUUGCACAAUGGGCGCAAGCCUGAUGCAGCGACGCCGCGUGAGGGAUGAAGGCCUUCGGGGUGUAAAGCUCUAUCAGCAGGGGAGAAAAUUGCGGUACCUGACUAAUAAUGCCUUGCUAACUACGUGCAAGAAGCCGCGGUAAUACGGAGGGUGCACGCGUUAUCCGGAUUUACUGGGGGUAAAGGGAGCGUAGACGGCGGGGCAAGUCAGGUGUGAAAGCCCGGGGCUCAACCCCGGAACUGCAUUUGGAACUGGGCGGCUAGAGUGUCGGAGAGGAAGGCGGAAUUCGUGGUGUAGCGGUGAAAUGCGUAGAUAUCAGGAGGAACACCAGUGGCGAAGGCGGCCUGCUGGACGAUGACUGACGUUGAGGCUCGAAAGCGUGGGGAGCAAACAGGAUUAGAUACCCGAGUAGUC
Molecule: ribosomal RNA, 440 nt
Filed under: uncultured bacterium
Lineage: Bacteria
Description: partial 16S ribosomal RNA
Rfam family: Bacterial small subunit ribosomal RNA
Source: RNAcentral